Molecule: transfer RNA, 69 nt
Filed under: Panesthia sp. Salganea
Lineage: Eukaryota; Metazoa; Arthropoda; Insecta; Blattodea; Blaberidae
Also listed under: 1 other name
Description: tRNA-Ser
Rfam family: tRNA
About the family: Transfer RNA (tRNA) molecules are approximately 80 nucleotides in length. Their secondary structure includes four short double-helical elements and three loops (D, anti-codon, and T loops).
Source: RNAcentral
AAUUAUUAACCUAAAGAAGGUAUUAUGUUUUGAAAGCAUAUUAAAGAGGUUUAACUCCUCUAGUAAUUU